This 313-nucleotide unclassified non-coding RNA is filed under the name plant metagenome. RNAcentral's name for it is "partial contains 5.8S ribosomal RNA, internal transcribed spacer 2, and large subunit ribosomal RNA". The stretch from base 1 to 105 matches the Rfam family "5.8S ribosomal RNA", at positions 50 to 154 of the family's 154-position model. The record is from RNAcentral.
GAAAUGCGAUACGUAGUGUGAAUUGCAGAAUUCAGUGAAUCAUCGAAUCUUUGAACGCACAUUGCGCCCUUUGGUAUUCCAAAGGGCAUGCCUGUUCGAGCGUCAUUUGUACCCUCAAGCUUUGCUUGGUGUUGGGCGUUUUUUGUCUUUGGCUCACCCAAAGACUCGCCUUAAAACGAUUGGCAGCCGGCCUACUGGUUUCGCAGCGCAGCACAUUUUUGCGCUUGCAAUCAGCAAAAGAGGACGGCAAUCCAUCAAGACUCCUUCUCACGUUUGACCUCGGAUCAGGUAGGGAUACCCGCUGAACUUAAGC